This 251-nucleotide ribosomal RNA is filed under the name uncultured bacterium. Its description in RNAcentral is "partial 16S ribosomal RNA". It matches the Rfam family "Bacterial small subunit ribosomal RNA", at positions 793 to 1055 of the family's 1533-position model. The record is from RNAcentral.
GUCCACGCCGUAACGAUGAAUACUAGGUGUCGGUGGCAAGCCAUUCGGUGCCGCAGCAACGCAAUAAGUAUUCCACCUGGGAGUACGUUCGCAAGAAUGAACUCAAGAAUUGACGGGCCCGCACAAGCGGUGGAGUAUGUGGUUAAUUCGAUGCAACGCGAAGAACCUUACCUAGGCUUGACAUCCAGGGAACCUUCCCAAAGGAAGGUGCUCUUCGGAGAACCCUGAGACAGGUGCUGCAUGGCUGUCGU